Long non-coding RNA from Gorilla gorilla gorilla (western lowland gorilla), 639 nucleotides. RefSeq lists it as uncharacterized. The transcript has 3 exons. NCBI's taxonomy places the organism in Eukaryota, Metazoa, Chordata, Mammalia, Primates, Hominidae. The record is from RefSeq and is a predicted model, not a curated record.
UCGGAGCAGGCAGGGCGGCCGCGGGGACGCAGAGCUGCACCCGGCGCGGGUCCAAGCGUUGCUGGUAGCUGCUGUGCUUUGGACACGUGGCGGCUACGCAGGGAGGAGAAAAAGCGCGGGUGGACCUGGGUCCCAUUAACCUGGACAGACACCUCCGAGAUGAGCGUGAGGGGGCUGCUGGAUCUGUUCUUCUUUCACAGCUGUAUCCUGAAGAAUGGCAGUGAGCCGGAAGAGCCACAGGAUUCGGCAAAGACGGACACACAGAGCCCAGCUCACGGCAAAUCUCAAUGGAUAUUUGUUGGAAGAAUUAAUGAAUGUGUCGAAGCCUUUUCUAUAGCACAUAUUUGUUCAACUUUGGCAUCCACUACAUGCCGGGAACAUCCUAGGGCCUGGGGACACAGCAAUGACCACGACAGAGAUCCCUGACCUCAUGAAACAGAUGUUCUAGGGCAGACAUUGACAAGCUUCACCCUUGGGCCCAAAUCUGGCCCUCCACCUGUUUUGGCACAGCCUACAAUCUAAAUAGUCUUUACAUGUUUAAGUGGUUAGGAAAAAAGAAACCAAAAGAGGAAAUUUUGUGAGGUGUGAAAAUCAUGUAAAAUUCAAAUUCCGGUGUCUAUAAAUAAUGUCUUCAUGAAA